AGCAGCCGCGGUAAUUCCAGCUCCAAUAGCGUAUAUUAAAGUUGUUGCAGUUAAAAAGCUCGUAGUUGAAUUUCGGGAUUGACGUGAUGGUCGUGCCUUAAGGGGUAUGAACUGUCGCUGUUGAUUUCUCACCUUCUGGAGAAACUUGAUGUCCUUAAUUGGGUGUCUUGCGGAUCCAGGACCUUUACCUUGAAAAAAUUAGAGUGUUUAAAGCAGGCAUUUUUGCUCGAAUACAUUAGCAUGGAAUAAUAGAAUAGGACGGCAUGGUUCUAUUUUGUUGGUUUCUAGGAUCACCGUAAUGAUUAAUAGGGAUAGUUGGGGGCAUUAGUAUUCAAUUGUCAGAGGUGAAAUUCUUGGAUUUAUUGAAGACUAACUACUGCGAAAGCAUUUGCCAAGGAUGUUUUCAUUAAUCAAGAACGAAAGUUAGGGGAUCGAAGACGAUCAGAUACCGUCGUAGUCUUAACCAUAAACUAUGCCGACUAGGAAUCAGACGAUGUUAAUUUUUUCAAUGACUCGUUUG
RNAcentral lists this ribosomal RNA (520 nucleotides) under uncultured Entrophospora. RNAcentral's name for it is "SSU rRNA". It matches the Rfam family "Eukaryotic small subunit ribosomal RNA", at positions 569 to 1082 of the family's 1831-position model. The record is from RNAcentral. Lineage: Eukaryota; Fungi; Glomeromycota; Glomeromycetes; Entrophosporales; Entrophosporaceae.